AUUGUAACAUCCCAACUUUAAUUAAUAGAGAAAUAUUAAUUAGAGUUGAUUAUUGGAGACUAAUUGAAAAUAAGUGAACAAGUAUAAGGGAUAAUUAAAGAACUCAAGAAUAAGUUAACUAUGACCAUUUGAGAGAAAGAGAACCCCUUUACCAAGUGGGACCCAUUACUCCAUAUGAUAAUUAAGCCAAUACCAAACAUUUCCCUCAUUUGUGAAGAAUCAGAACAACAUCUUGUCUCAUUUCUUUCUCUCCCUCGUUCUUCAACCUUACGCCCCUCCUCCAUAACCCAUGUUUCAUUCUUCUACCCAAAAGGUUGCAUGUACUCUUUUCUAGUUAACUCUUAGUCAUUGAGCUAUAACAAAGGAUUCGAGACUCCAAACCAUUCAUUCUUUCUCUAUUACGGGAAAUUAAUCCCAAAUCCAUCUCCACAAGAUCUUCAAAACCCUUUCCAUUAAAUUGAAGAAAAUCAGAGGUGUUUAUGGUGUUGAUUGCAUGUGCAAAGUCUGGAACAAAUUCUCAAUCAGCAGCAUGAUAAAGGAAGGGUAAGUCAUAGAGUUUAUUCUUCAAAUUUCUUAUUCUGACAAGUCCAUUCUAUUUGGUGUUAAAGAUGAUUUAUAGGAUUUAAUUAGUUCCAUUUUGGUACUUGCAUGUAAGAUUCCAAGGAGAGAAGAUCAUGGGUAUUUGAGUAGAAGUAAUUGAGAGAUCAAAGAUUAAGGAAGCUAAAAACUUGCAGAAGUUGGAAAGGACUUGGGAUUUAAGAAAUUAUUAUGGAAAAAUGAUUUAGCAACCUUAAUGAACUGUUGUUGUUGCUGUACUGUGGUCUGAUGUUGUUGUUAAAACUGAUUGGUAUGAUUAGAAUGGUUAUGGCUGAAUUCUAUGGAAUUAUAGUGAAAAAUUCGUAUGACAGUACAGGUACUAAUCGAGUCAUAGCAGUUGCUGUGUAGCCCAGACUUGUGUAAUUGUUGGAUUUUCGGAUUCUACACUUAAUUCCCUUCAGUUUGGAUAUAAGUUUGAUAUGUUUUGGAUUAGAAAUGGAUUCGGAAAACGCGUUUGAAGUUUGGAUAUUGAUGCUGGAAACUGCAUAUGGGUUUUGGCAUGAAUUUUGCGGAGUAAGCUAAAAUGUGAGUUCAUGUUGGGGGAAUGAUUCCAGAACUGAAUAUGUAUGCUUAAUUGGCUGAGUAAGAGUUUGAUUUGAAGUUGAAAUGCAAAAAUUAGAGGUCGGAAGUAGGUAGCAGUUUUAUGCAAAAAUAUGUCGCGAGUUUGCAUAUGCGAGUGGCACCAUCGGAUGGCUCUAAGUGGGCGAUAUGGCUCGGUACUGCUAGCAAUUUCAGAUAAACAGGUCGAUCGAGAUAUCAUGGUCUACAAGCAUGGAGUUCAGAUACUUGGAUUAUGCUAGUUGAGCUGACGUCAUGUUAUCUUAUAUUUUGUAUAAGAUUUAGUUUCUUUAUGUUUUCAGUUGUUAGCUCAGUUUAGUAUUAAUCUCUUGGAUUUUGUAAUCCUAUUUAUGUAUUCGGACGAUAUGUAAUGAAAAUUUAAUGUUUCCCGAUUCAGUUAUGUACACUCUUGUCGAUAUUCUAGAUAAAUUGACAUAGGGUGUUAUAAUUGGUAUCAGAGCAGGUCGAUUCAGUAUCGAACCUUGUCGUGGAUCAUUAGAAUUCAAUCCGAAGUAGUACGAACCCUUUGGAGUCUGGACUGUUUACGCUGAAAUCAUCGCGUACUGAGCCUGAUCAACUCAGUAUCGUGUAUGGUAGGCAGGGUAUUACAGUUGAGAAUCAAAGUGGACCAAGGAGAUCGAGUAGAAGAACGCAGCAGGAGUGUGAACUCAGAAGGUUGUAUGAACGAAGAUCGUUAGAAGCAGAUAUUUGGACUGCAGUAAUCGAUGCCACAAGAGUAAGUUGGGUAACGCCAACAAGUGGCGCGCAGAAUUGGGAAAAGUGCGUGGCGUAAUACUAGUAGUAAGAGGCAUGUCCAGAGAUGCACGAACUGGACGCGCUCAAUUGACGGUAGCAGGUUUAAGGAUACGGUCUGGGAAUGGAAAACCCGAUAUCAAAGUAAGUUUUGACCGGAGUAGAACUGAGACUCUGUAUUGAAGUACAAUACCGGAUAAUUGUAGUGAGUUUGAAGGAUGCAUUAAUAUAGAGAAUGGAAUUAUGUGAACGGAGCGUGUAUGUAUUAUGUGAACCUAAUAACCAGAAGCACUUAAUUCAAAUAAGACUUAUCAAAAGUCAGUGAACUAAACUCUUUCAAAUUCGUCAAACCAUCAUUUCGGUUCAGUAGUUUUCCCAGUGACAUAGGUCAAUUAACUACACUAUUAGAGAAAGACAAACUAGACUUCAAACAUUCCUUUAAUUCCUAAUGUCAGUUUGUUGUACCAUUCUCGUAGAAUGAGAACACUAAGUGACCCCAACAAGAUAAAUUAAGCCUCUCAGUCUGUAACCGGUACUCAAGUCAGACCAAUAGCAGCCAAGUUUCGUUUAUAGAGUAACGAUUGGAUUUUUAAUCCCAAUUCUAUCAGUCACCUAAGCCGACAUAUUAAACGCCAUUAUCAGUUAAUUCAUAAACAAGUAACGCAGUUCAAUAAUAACUUCAGCAAGUUGUGAACCAAUAUUUCGUAUUCAAACCUCUCAGCUUAUAACCCAACAUAUCCAGUUAAACCUAUUGUGAGAGUUUAUCAGCUAAAUUCUAAUGAGAAUCAAGUUUGUCCCAAUUCAAGAGAACUGUCUGUGGAAAUAAAUCAUGAAGCAUGAACAUACACCGGCAGAAUCAGGACUUUCAGUUACCUACCCUUUCAUGUGAACUCUAAAUCAGCUAAAUUCAUCGAAUCGAUGCGAUGCAUGAUUUGUAAUCAGCCAGCCUUGGUAAGUUAUGAACAUUACAUUCCUCGAACUUAUCUCAUUUUGAUAGAGAGAUAAAUUCUUCCGGUGCUUUGCGAUCUAUCGCUUACAUUUAGCGUAAGAAUUCAAUUAUGUUGCGAACCUUUCUAAUUCCUCAAUAUCAAUGAAUUAGAUUCACAGUUAGAAUGUUAUCCUUAUGUAACUCUGACGAAAUGUCUUCAGCUUUUCACCUUUGUUAUCAGUAUUCAGUUUGGACCUAUGUAAAGUUGAAUGGCUUGUUAAGAGUAAUGAGUUAUGUUCCUUUAAAGGACUAUCAAUUAUUCAUGUUGACCUUCAGAGCAGUAACCUUAUGUUUACCAUCAAUAAAUUCUUCGAUCUUCUAGUUUCACUACUAAUGACCGGUUCAUAAUCACAAAAGUCUAAUUAAUUAUGCAGGGUCACGAGUAAUUUUAGUUCAAGUUCUCACAUGUCUUGUUAAUCUGUUAAUCAACAAACAACCCAGAGUUAGUCAACUCAAUUAGUAGUAGCAUCACCAUCGGUAAAUCGAGACAAUUGUGUUUUACUUUCCCUUAGCGACCAGUCUAUUUUAGACAACUCGUUAUCGCAAAAUUGCAUCAGAGAAUUCUAUCCAAAUCUUACCUUAAUUAAGUUAGGGGACUCAUCAUAAGAAGUAACCUUAAUGAACACCGAUGGAAUGAGAAAAUCGUAAGCGCUAUGCGACAAGGAGAUUUUUGGAUUAGUCGGUAAUGAUAUCCAAGCUUAUACCCUUAAGAUAACCUCAUAACAUCAGUCGAUGUCCCGUGUUUUAAAGUGUGCCAACCAAGCCAAAUAAUGAUAUAAUGCAGUAAGUUGAGUAAUAGAGUUAUUGCUGGAAGCAAUAAUCAGAGUAAGUCAGAAAAGGAGACUGACUGUGACGAGGGACAACAAAGUGAAAUGAUAAGUAAACAGGAACCAACUCGCGAAGAAUGUCGCUUGUCGAAGUAGGGGUAGUUACUGGAUCAAUACAGGCAUUAUAAUUGAAUGCAACAAUGAGGAGACUUUGAGUAUGAAAUAAUUGUAAUAGAUAAGGAGUGAAGUGGUGCAGACAUGUUAGAUUUUGGUGAAGUAUUUAUACAGUGGUGCAUCGGACGUCACUAAGUGAUGCGAGUAUUACUUUGUAACGUUUACGGUACAAGAAGUAAUAACAAUAUGAGUAACGCCAGAUAAGAUGAGACAAUGUGUGACAUUGCCCGGGAAUUGUAGACCGAGGUUGUAAUGACGCAGUCAGAAGAUAAUGGUAAAAAGUUGAUAUCAGAGUGCGCAACAAGUAAUGGUGGAGAAUACAGUAAGCAGGUUGGUCUUUAGGCCAACAACCAUUUAGGAAGAAGAAAGUUUUAUUCCAAGGAAUUGGAUGUGGAAGACGGUAAGAUAAUUAAAAGAACGUAUGACGAGUAAGUUACACAUAUGUUCAUGUUUGAACUUGGGAUUGUUAGUAAUGGAGUACCCUUGAGAACAAAGAUUGUGAAGGGAGAACGAUUCAACUCAUAAGGAUAAUGCGGUGAACUAGUAAGAACAAGUGGGCUCCGGUAUUAAUUUGAAGAGUAAGGAAAAAGGAAAUGUUGCGUUGCGAACGGUUAUACCGAGGAAAAUAACAAAAAGUGCUAAUAUAAGAUGAGCGUGCACCUAUAAGUCGUAUUAUGGGCUGAGAUCAUGAGUUCGAUGUAUGAAAUGAACAAGCAGGAUUUUCAAAAGUAACCUAAACAAAUGCUAUUGCAGCGAAGUAUGGGGUUAAUAACCUUGAACGCCGAAUCAUGAUCUGUUAAGAAACAAAGUCUAGACAAUUUGCUUUGGUGAUGAAUGAAGAAGUUCUUGAAUUUCGCGGACGAAAUUCUUUUAAGGGGGAUAGAUUGUAACAUCCCAACUUUAAUUAAUAGAGAAAUAUUAAUUAGAGUUGAUUAUUGGAGACUAAUUGAAAAUAAGUGAACAAGUAUAAGGGAUAAUUAAAGAACUCAAGAAUAAGUUAACUAUGACCAUUUGAGAGAAAGAGAACCCCUUUACCAAGUGGGACCCAUUACUCCAUAUGAUAAUUAAGCCAAUACCAAACAUUUCCCUCAUUUGUGAAGAAUCAGAACAACAUCUUGUCUCAUUUCUUUCUCUCCCUCGUUCUUCAACCUCACGCCCCUCCUCCAUAACCCAUGUUUCAUUCUUCUACCCAAAAGGUUGCAUGUACUCUUUUCUAGUUAACUCUUAGUCAUUGAGCUAUAACAAAGGAUUCGAGACUCCAAACCAUUCAUUCUUUCUCUAUUACGGGAAAUUAAUCCCAAAUCCAUCUCCACAAGAUCUUCAAAACCCUUUCCAUUAAAUUGAAGAAAAUCAGAGGUGUUUAUGGUGUUGAUUGCAUGUGCAAAGUCUGGAACAAAUUCUCAAUCAGCAGCAUGAUAAAGGAAGGGUAAGUCAUAGAGUUUAUUCUUCAAAUUUCUUAUUCUGACAAGUCCAUUCUAUUUGGUGUUAAAGAUGAUUUAUAGGAUUUAAUUAGUUCCAUUUUGGUACUUGCAUGUAAGAUUCCAAGGAGAGAAGAUCAUGGGUAUUUGAGUAGAAGUAAUUGAGAGAUCAAAGAUUAAGGAAGCUAAAAACUUGCAGAAGUUGGAAAGGACUUGGGAUUUAAGAAAUUAUUAUGGAAAAAUGAUUUAGCAACCUUAAUGAACUGUUGUUGUUGCUGUACUGUGGUCUGAUGUUGUUGUUAAAACUGAUUGGUAUGAUUAGAAUGGUUAUGGCUGAAUUCUAUGGAAUUAUAGUGAAAAAUUCGUAUGACAGUACAGGUACUAAUUGAGUCAUAGCAGUUGCUGUGUAGCCCAGACUUGUGUAAUUGUUGGAUUUUCGGAUUCUACACUUAAUUCCCUUCAGUUUGGAUAUAAGUUUGAUAUGUUUUGGAUUAGAAAUGGAUUCGGAAAACGCGUUUGAAGUUUGGAUAUUGAUGCUGGAAACUGCAUAUGGGUUUUGGCAUGAAUUUUGCGGAGUAAGCUAAAAUGUGAGUUCAUGUUGGGGGAAUGAUUCCAGAACUGAAUAUGUAUGCUUAAUUGGCUGAGUAAGAGUUUGAUUUGAAGUUGAAAUGCAAAAAUUAGAGGUCGGAAGUAGGUAGCAGUUUUAUGCAAAAAUAUGUCGCGAGUUUGCAUAUGCGAGUGGCACCAUCGGAUGGCUCUAAGUGGGCGAUAUGGCUCGGUACUGCUAGCAAUUUCAGAUAAACAGGUCGAUCGAGAUAUCAUGGUCUACAAGCAUGGAGUUCAGAUACUUGGAUUAUGCUAGUUGAGCUGACGUCAUGUUAUCUUAUAUUUUGUAUAAGAUUUAGUUUCUUUAUGUUUUCAGUUGUUAGCUCAAUUUAGUAUUAAUCUCUUGGAUUUUGUAAUCCUAUUUAUGUAUUCGGACGAUAUGUAAUGAAAAUUUAAUGUUUCCCGAUUCAGUUA
Molecule: long non-coding RNA, 6275 nt
Organism: Trifolium pratense (red clover)
Lineage: Eukaryota; Viridiplantae; Streptophyta; Magnoliopsida; Fabales; Fabaceae
Exons: 3
Source: RefSeq, a predicted model, not a curated record